Non-coding RNA from Danio rerio (zebrafish), 371 nucleotides. The record is from RefSeq and is a predicted model, not a curated record. NCBI's taxonomy places the organism in Eukaryota, Metazoa, Chordata, Actinopteri, Cypriniformes, Danionidae.
UGUCCAUCAGUGGAUCUGCUGUAAUAGAGUCUGGAGAUUCAGUGACUCUGAGCUGCAGCAGCGACUCAAACCCUCCUGCUGUGAACUUCACCUGGUUUAAAGACAAUCAAAGCUCAGCUGUUGGAUCUGGACAGAGUUUCAACAUCUCCAGCUUUAACUCCCGUCACAGUGGCCGAUACUACUGUGAGGCUGAGAAUAAAUAUGGCUCUCAGAGAUCAGAGUCUGUUUCAGUCACUGAAGGGGUUCAGAGAUCUGCUCUGCUCACACUUACUGGGGUUGUGGCGGGAUGUGGAGGAUUGAUCUUCAUCAUCAUCAUCAUUAUUGUGUUCAUAUGGAAGAAGAAGAGGAGAGAUGGUGGAGCUGAAGAUACC